Molecule: small nucleolar RNA, 115 nt
Filed under: Saimiri boliviensis boliviensis (Bolivian squirrel monkey)
Lineage: Eukaryota; Metazoa; Chordata; Mammalia; Primates; Cebidae
Description: Small nucleolar RNA SNORD35 (ENSSBOG00000009279.1)
Rfam family: Small nucleolar RNA SNORD35 (bases 1-59)
About the family: U35 is a C/D box snoRNA located in intron 6 of ribosomal protein L13A and intron 3 of ribosomal protein S11 in humans and at homologous positions in mouse and chicken ribosomal protein genes. U35 guides the methylation of 2'-O-ribose sites in 28S rRNA.
Source: RNAcentral
GGCAGAUGAUGUCCUUAUCUCACGAUGGUCUGCAGAUGUCCCUGUGGGAAUGUCAACAAGCAAAAAGAAAAUUAAUAAGAACCCUACACUACAUCCCCUCACUUUUUGCCAUUUU